RNAcentral lists this ribosomal RNA (460 nucleotides) under uncultured soil bacterium. RNAcentral describes it as "bacterial SSU rRNA". It matches the Rfam family "Bacterial small subunit ribosomal RNA", at positions 26 to 518 of the family's 1533-position model. The record is from RNAcentral.
AGGACGAACGCUGGCGGCGUGCUUAAAACAUGCAAGUCGAACGAGACCUUUGGUCUAGUGGCGAACGGCGGAGUAAUACAUAAGCAACCUGCCUCAAAGACCGGGAUAGCCCCUCGAAAGAGGGAUUAAUACCGGAUGUGGCCUUUUGUGGGCAUCCACGAAAGAUUAAAACGAGCAAUCGGCUUUGAGAGGGGCUUGUGGCCUAUCAGCUUGUUGGUGGGGUAAUGGCCUACCAAGGCUUCGACGGGUAGCGGGUCUGAGAGGAUGAUCCGCCCGACUGGGACUGAGACACGGCCCAGACUCCUACGGGAGGCAGCAGUUGGGAAUCUUGCACAAUGGGCGAAAGCCUGAUGCAGCGACGCCGCGUGGAGGACGAAGUCUUCGGAUGUAAACUCCUUUUCCAGGAACGAUAAUGACGGUACCUGGUGAAUAAGCCCGCUAACUACGUGCCAGCAGCCGC